RNAcentral lists this ribosomal RNA (1343 nucleotides) under uncultured bacterium. RNAcentral describes it as "16S ribosomal RNA". It matches the Rfam family "Bacterial small subunit ribosomal RNA", at positions 28 to 1378 of the family's 1533-position model. The record is from RNAcentral.
GACGAACGCUGGCGGCGUGCUUAACACAUGCAAGUCGAACGGAAAGGCCCUGCUUUUGUGGGGUGCUCGAGUGGCGAACGGGUGAGUAACACGUGAGUAACCUGCCCUUGACUUUGGGAUAACUUCAGGAAACUGGGGCUAAUACUGGAUAGGAGCUCCUGCUGCAUGGUGGGGGUUGGAAAGUUUCGGCGGUUGGGGAUGGACUCGCGGCUUAUCAGCUUGUUGGUGGGGUAGUGGCUUACCAAGGCUUUGACGGGUAGCCGGCCUGAGAGGGUGACCGGCCACAUUGGGACUGAGAUACGGCCCAGACUCCUACGGGAGGCAGCAGUGGGGAAUAUUGCACAAUGGGCGGAAGCCUGAUGCAGCAACGCCGCGUGCGGGAUGACGGCCUUCGGGUUGUAAACCACUUUCGCCUGUGACGAAGCGUGAGUGACGGUAAUGGGUAAAGAAGCACCGGCUAACUACGUGCCAGCAGCCGCGGUGAUACGUAGGGUGCGAGCGUUGUCCGGAUUUAUUGGGCGUAAAGGGCUCGUAGGUGGUUGAUCGCGUCGGAAGUGUAGUCUUGGGGCUUAACCCUGAGCGUGCUUUCGAUACGGGUUGACUUGAGGAAGGUAGGGGAGAAUGGAAUUCCUGGUGGAGCGGUGGAAUGCGCAGAUAUCAGGAGGAACACCAGUGGCGAAGGCGGUUCUCUGGGCCCUUCCUGACGCUGAGGAGCGAAAGCGUGGGGAGCGAACAGGCUUAGAUACCCUGGUAGUCCACGCUGUAAACGGUGGGUACUAGGUGUGGGGUCCAUUCCACGGGUUCCGUGCCGUAGCUAACGCUUUAAGUACCCCGCCUGGGGAGUACGGCCGCAAGGCUAAAACUCAAAGGAAUUGACGGGGCCCCGCACAAGCGGCGGAGCAUGCGGAUUAAUUCGAUGCAACGCGUAGAACCUUACCUGGGUUUGACAUGGAUCGGGAGUGCUCAGAGAUGGGUGUGCCUCUUUUGGGGUCGGUUCACAGGUGGUGCAUGGCUGUCGUCAGCUCGUGUCGUGAGAUGUUGGGUUAAGUCCCGCAACGAGCGCAACCCUUGUUCACUGUUGCCAGCACGUUAUGGUGGGGACUCAGUGGAGACCGCCGGGGUCAACUCGGAGGAAGGUGGGGAUGACGUCAAGUCAUCAUGCCCCUUAUGUCCAGGGCUUCACGCAUGCUACAAUGGCUGGUACAGAGAGUGGCGAGCCUGUGAGGGUGAGCGAAUCUCGGAAAGCCGGUCUCAGUUCGGAUUGGGGUCUGCAACUCGACCUCAUGAAGUCGGAGUCGCUAGUAAUCGCAGAUCAGCAACGCUGCGGUGAAUACGUUCCCGGG